RNAcentral lists this ribosomal RNA (541 nucleotides) under Bifidobacterium adolescentis. RNAcentral's name for it is "bacterial SSU rRNA". It matches the Rfam family "Bacterial small subunit ribosomal RNA", at positions 146 to 696 of the family's 1533-position model. The record is from RNAcentral. Lineage: Bacteria; Bacillati; Actinomycetota; Actinomycetes; Bifidobacteriales; Bifidobacteriaceae.
UCUCCUGGGAAACGGGUGGUAAUGCCGGAUGCUCCAGUUGGAUGCAUGUCCUUCUGGGAAAGAUUCUAUCGGUAUGGGAUGGGGUCGCGUCCUAUCAGCUUGAUGGCGGGGUAACGGCCCACCAUGGCUUCGACGGGUAGCCGGCCUGAGAGGGCGACCGGCCACAUUGGGACUGAGAUACGGCCCAGACUCCUACGGGAGGCAGCAGUGGGGAAUAUUGCACAAUGGGCGCAAGCCUGAUGCAGCGACGCCGCGUGCGGGAUGACGGCCUUCGGGUUGUAAACCGCUUUUGACUGGGAGCAAGCCCUUCGGGGUGAGUGUACCUUUCGAAUAAGCACCGGCUAACUACGUGCCAGCAGCCGCGGUAAUACGUAGGGUGCAAGCGUUAUCCGGAAUUAUUGGGCGUAAAGGGCUCGUAGGCGGUUCGUCGCGUCCGGUGUGAAAGUCCAUCGCUUAACGGUGGAUCCGCGCCGGGUACGGGCGGGCUUGAGUGCGGUAGGGGAGACUGGAAUUCCCGGUGUAACGGUGGAAUGUGUAGAUA